GAACGCGGAAGGAGGACUUGCUCUUCUGGAAGAGUUGCGAACGGGUGAGUAACGCGUAGGUAACCUGCCUGGUAGCGGGGGAUAACUAUUGGAAACGAUAGCUAAUACCGCAUAAGAUUGAAUAUCGCAUGAUAAUUGAUUAAAAGAUGCAAAUGCAUCACUACCAGAUGGACCUGCGUUGUAUUAGCUAGUAGGUGAGGUAACGGCUCACCUAGGCGACGAUACAUAGCCGACCUGAGAGGGUGAUCGGCCACACUGGGACUGAGACACGGCCCAGACUCCUACGGGAGGCAGCAGUAGGGAAUCUUCGGCAAUGGGGGCAACCCUGACCGAGCAACGCCGCGUGAGUGAAGAAGGUUUUCGGAUCGUAAAGCUCUGUUGUAAGAGAAGAACGAGUGUGAGAGUGGAAAGUUCACACUGUGACGGUAUCUUACCAGAAAGGGACGGCUAACUACGUGCCAGCAGCCGCGGUAAUACGUAGGUCCCGAGCGUUGUCCGGAUUUAUUGGGCGUAAAGCGAGCGCAGGCGGUUAGAUAAGUCUGAAGUUAAAGGCUGUGGCUUAACCAUAGUACGCUUUGGAAACUGUUUAACUUGAGUGCAGAAGGGGAGAGUGGAAUUCCAUGUGUAGCGGUGAAAUGCGUAGAUAUAUGGAGGAACACCGGUGGCGAAAGCGGCUCUCUGGUCUGUAACUGACGCUGAGGCUCGAAAGCGUGGGGAGCGAACAGGAUUAGAUACCCUGGUAGUCCACGCCGUAAACGAUGAGUGCUAGGUGUUAGGCCCUUUCCGGGGCUUAGUGCCGUAGCUGACGCAUUAAGCACUCCGCCUGGGAGUACGACCGCAAGGUU
Molecule: ribosomal RNA, 845 nt
Filed under: uncultured Streptococcus sp.
Lineage: Bacteria; Bacillati; Bacillota; Bacilli; Lactobacillales; Streptococcaceae
Description: bacterial SSU rRNA
Rfam family: Bacterial small subunit ribosomal RNA
Source: RNAcentral